CCUACGGGCGGCAGCAGUGAGGAAUAUUGGUCAAUGGUCGGGAGACUGAACCAGCCAAGCCGCGUGAGGGAGGAAGGUACAGAGUAUCGUAAACCUCUUUUGUCAGGGAACAAAGGCGGGGACGUGUCCCCGGAUGCGUGUACCUGAAGAAAAAGCAUCGGCUAACUCCGUGCCAGCAGCCGCGGUAAUCCGGAGGAUGCGAGCGUUAUCCGGAUUGAUGGGGGUAAAGGGGUGCGCAGGCGGUCUGUUAAGUCCGCGGUCAAAGCCCGGGGCUCAACCCCGGCCCGCCGUUGAAACUGGCAGUCUAGAGUUGGAGAGAAGUAUGCGGAAUGCGCGGUGUAGCGGUGAAAUGCAUAGAUAUCGCGCAGAACUCCGAUUGCGAAGGCAGCAUGCCGGAUCCACACUGACGCUGAGGCACGAAAGCGUGGGUAUCGAACAGGAUUAGAUACCCGAGUAGUC
Molecule: ribosomal RNA, 459 nt
Filed under: uncultured bacterium
Lineage: Bacteria
Description: partial 16S ribosomal RNA
Rfam family: Bacterial small subunit ribosomal RNA
Source: RNAcentral